GGUGAGUAAUAUAUAGAUAACGUGCCUCUUAGUCUGGGAUAGCCAUUGGAAACGAUGAUUAAUACUAGAUACUCCUUCUGAUUCUAAUUUCAGUCGGGAAAGUUUUUCGCUAAGAGAUCGGUCUAUAUCCCAUCAGUUAGUUGGUAAGGUAACGGCUUACCAAGGCAAUGACGGGUAGCGGGUUUGAGAGGAUGAUCCGCCACACUGGUACUGAGACACGGACCAGACUCCUACGGGAGGCAGCAGUGAGGAAUAUUGCACAAUGGAGGAAACUCUGAUGCAGCAACGCCGCGUGGAGGAUGACGCAUUUCGGUGUGUAAACUCCUUUUACGAGUCAAGAAAAUGACGGUAGCUCGUGAAUAAGCACCGGCUAACUCCGUGCCAGCAGCCGCGGUAAUACGGAGGGUGCAAGCGUUACUCGGAAUCACUGGGCGUAAAGGACACGUAGGCGGGAUGCCAAGUCUGAUGUGAAAUCCUAUGGCUUAACCAUAGAACUGCAUUGGAAACUGGUAACCUAGAGUAUGGGAGGGGGAGAUGGAAUUAGUGGUGUAGGGGUAAAAUCCGUAGAUAUCACUAGGAAUACCGAAAGCGAAGGCGAUCUCCUGGAACAAUACUGACGCUAAGGUGUGAAAGCGUGGGGAGCAAACGGGAUUAGAUACCCCGGUAGUCCACGCCCUAAACGAUGAACACUA
RNAcentral lists this ribosomal RNA (692 nucleotides) under uncultured bacterium. Its description in RNAcentral is "bacterial SSU rRNA". It matches the Rfam family "Bacterial small subunit ribosomal RNA", at positions 105 to 818 of the family's 1533-position model. The record is from RNAcentral.